GAUUUGGAAACAUUGGAAUUAUUUCAUCCAUUUCAUCAAAUCACGUCUUCUCUUUCCCUUUCUACCCAAACCCUAACCCCCUCAUUUUUCAGCCACCGAUCAAGAAAACACGGCGACUGAACCCGGAAACACGGCGCAAAUCAGACCAAAGCAAACACCGAUCUUGUUUUGCUGUUUAAUCGAAGCCAAAAAUCGCCCUUUUUAUCCUUCGCCCUAAAUUUCCAUCGCUCGUCUCCAAAUCGAUUCGUCCUUCGACUGAAAUAAGGUUCAAAGAGUACAAGAAUCGAUUACGAGGAUGACUUUGACGAUGACAUGCCCAUUGCAUUAGCGUAACGACUAGCUUUAAAGAUGUCCAAAGAUGUGCUAGAUUAUUAUGUGUUGUAGUAUACUACGUGAGAUUAGUUCAUUUGUUAAGUUGUAUUAUAUGAUUAGUGAAAGUACAUUAAUUUCAUAUUUAUAAUAAUUACUCUAUGCUUUGAUUUGAAA
Molecule: long non-coding RNA, 486 nt
Organism: Salvia splendens (bonfire salvia)
Lineage: Eukaryota; Viridiplantae; Streptophyta; Magnoliopsida; Lamiales; Lamiaceae
Exons: 2
Source: RefSeq, a predicted model, not a curated record